GACGAACGCUGGCGGCGUGCUUAACACGUGCAAGUCGAACGGAAAGGCCCUGCUUUUGUGGGGCGCUCGAGUGGCGAACGGGUGAGUAACACGUGAGUAACCCGCCCCUGACUUAGGGAUAAAUUCAGGAAACUGGGGCUAAUACCGGAUAGGAUCUCCUGCUGCAUGGGGGUGGUUGGAAAGUUUCGGCGGUGGUGGAUGGACUCGAGGCUUAUCAGCUUGUUGGUGGGGUAGUGGCUUACCAAGGCUUUGACGGGUAGCCGGCCUGGGAGGGUAACCGGCCACAUUGGGACUGAGGUACGGCCCAGACUCCUACGGGCGGCAGCGGUGGGAAAUCUUACGCAGUGGGCGGACGCCUGAUGCGGAAACCCCGCGUGCGGAAUGACGGCCUUCGGGUUGUAAACCGCUUUCGCCUGUGACGAGGCGUGAGUGACGGUAAUGGGUAAAGAAGCACCGGCUAACUACGUG
Molecule: ribosomal RNA, 468 nt
Filed under: uncultured bacterium
Lineage: Bacteria
Description: partial 16S ribosomal RNA
Rfam family: Bacterial small subunit ribosomal RNA
Source: RNAcentral